RNAcentral lists this transfer RNA (75 nucleotides) under Nanobdellota archaeon. RNAcentral's name for it is "tRNA-Ile". It matches the Rfam family "tRNA". Rfam says of the family: Transfer RNA (tRNA) molecules are approximately 80 nucleotides in length. Their secondary structure includes four short double-helical elements and three loops (D, anti-codon, and T loops). Lineage: Archaea; Nanobdellati; Nanobdellota. The record is from RNAcentral.
GAGCCCGUGGCAUAGCCUGGCUAUUGCACCGCUCUGAUAAGGCGGGGGUCGUCGGUUCAAAUCCGAUCGGGCUCA